This 553-nucleotide ribosomal RNA is filed under the name uncultured bacterium. Its description in RNAcentral is "bacterial SSU rRNA". It matches the Rfam family "Bacterial small subunit ribosomal RNA", at positions 777 to 1327 of the family's 1533-position model. The record is from RNAcentral.
AAUAGAUACCCCGGUAGUCCACGCCGUAAACGAUGAGUGCUAAGUGUUGGGGGGGUUUCCGCCCCUCAGUGCUGCAGCUAACGCAUUAAGCACUCCGCCUGGGGAGUACGGUCGCAAGACUGAAACUCAAAGGAAUUGACGGGGGCCCGCACAAGCGGUGGAGCAUGUGGUUUAAUUCGAAGCAACGCGAAGAACCUUACCAGGUCUUGACAUCCCGGUGACCACUAUGGAGACAUAGUUUCCCCUUCGGGGGCAACGGUGACAGGUGGUGCAUGGUUGUCGUCAGCUCGUGUCGUGAGAUGUUGGGUUAAGUCCCGCAACGAGCGCAACCCUUAUUCUUAGUUGCCAUCAUUCAGUUGGGCACUCUAAGGAGACUGCCGGUGAUAAACCGGAGGAAGGUGGGGAUGACGUCAAAUCAUCAUGCCCCUUAUGACCUGGGCUACACACGUGCUACAAUGGACGGUACAAACGGUUGCCAACCCGCGAGGGGGAGCUAAUCCGAUAAAACCGUUCUCAGUUCGGAUUGUAGGCUGCAACUCGCCUACAUGGAACG